RNAcentral lists this long non-coding RNA (449 nucleotides) under Equus caballus (horse). RNAcentral's name for it is "lncRNA (ENSECAG00000055726.1)". The record is from RNAcentral. Lineage: Eukaryota; Metazoa; Chordata; Mammalia; Perissodactyla; Equidae.
CAUGGCAGUGUGAAAGGGGUUUCAGAUGAGAUCGCUUGAGGGGCAGGGGGACCCUUCAGGAGAAAAGCUGGCCUGAUAAGGAACCAAGGAUUUACCCUUCCAAGAUCCUGCAAGCACAGCACAGACAUGACCUCCCUGGGCUUCCAAACACCCCCUUGAGCUACGGAUCAAGGACAGGGAUUAUUUUACAGAUGGAAAAACUGGCGCUCAAAAGCAGCACAUGCACCAAUGCCCCUUCACAGAGCAGUGGCAAAGCCAGGAACAGAGCACAGGUCCAACAGCCAGGAGCAGAGCCAUGUUUCAGCCUCCUGGCCUGUACUCCUUCCAUGAAGCAGCUCCUAGAAGGCCCCCUCAGCAGAUGAGUCUUGUAAGGAUGGAAACUAUGGGGUUGCCUUUCUCACUUCUCUGUUCUCAUCAUUCAGCAUCCUCACAUCAAAGCAGAAUUGGAA